GGACAUAGAACAUUUCUGUCAAGGUCAUUUUGACUAUAUGAGCUCGAGGAGAUUUGCCUUUAGACUGCUCAAUGAACCACUGGACAAAUUGAAACCAGUUCUGUCCAGUAGGUUGCUUAGCUCCAACCCAUUGUAGUGUAUGAUAUCUCAGCUGGGAUGCAAAGGUGCAGCCCAGAAAUAAGUGUUCUCUGGUUUCCAUAUUUUGUUGGCACAUAAUACAAGUGUCUGCCACAUUCAGGCUCCAUUUAAUCAACCUAUCCUUGGUAGGUAAUCU
This 274-nucleotide long non-coding RNA is filed under the name Nicotiana benthamiana. RNAcentral's name for it is "long non-coding RNA (NBEN_LNC019603)". The record is from RNAcentral. Lineage: Eukaryota; Viridiplantae; Streptophyta; Magnoliopsida; Solanales; Solanaceae.